AUUAAAUGCGCAGCUAUAAUGCAGUCGAGCGAAUCUAAGGGAGCUUGCUCCCUUUAGAUUACGGCGGACGGGUGAGUAACACGUGGGUAACCUGCCUGUAAAAUUGGGAUAACUCCGGGAAACCGGAGCUAAUACCGGAUAACAUGUCGAACCGCAUGGUUCGACUUUGAAAGAUGGCUUCGGCUAUCACUUACAGAUGGACCCGCGGCGCAUUACCUAGUUGGUGAGGUAACGGCUCACCAAGGCGACAAUGCGUACCCAACCUGAAAGGGUGAUCGGCCACACUGGGACUGAAACACGGCCCAAACUCCUACGGGAGGCAGCAUUAGGGAAUCUUCCGCAAUGGACAAAAGUCUGACGGACCAACCCCCCGUGAACAAUGAAGGCCUUCGGGUCGUAAAGUUCUGUUGUUAGGGAAAAACAAUUACCAAAUUAACUGCUGGUACCUUGACGGUACCUAACCAAAAAGCCACGGCUAACUACUUGCCACCACCCGCGGUAAUACUUAGGUGGCAAGCGUUGUCCGGAAUUAUUGGGCGUAAAGCGCGCGCAGGCGGUUUCUUAAUUCUGAUGUGAAAGCCCACGGCUCACCCGUGAAGGGUCAUUGGAAACUGGGGAACUUGAUUGCAAAAAAGGAGAGUGGAAUUCCACGUGUACCGGUGAAAUGCGUAAAGAUGUGAAGGAACACCAUGGGCGAAGGCAACUCUCUGGUCUGUAACUGACGCUAAGGCGCGAAAGCGUGGGGAGCGAACAGGAUUACUCUCUGGUCUGUAACUGACGCUGAGGCGCGAAAGCGUGGGGAGCGAACAGGAUUAGAUACCCUGGUAGUCCACGCCGUAAACGAUGAGUGCUAAGUGUUAGAGGGUUUCCGCCCUUUAGUGCUGCAGCAAACGCAUUAAGCACUCCGCCUGGGGAGUACGGUCGCAAGACUGAAACUCAAAGGAAUUGACGGGGGCCCGCACAAGCGGUGGAGCAUGUGGUUUAAUUCGAAGCAACGCGAAGAACCUUACCAGGUCUUGACAUCCUUCGCUACUUCUAGAGAUAGAAGGUUCCCCUUCGGGGGACGAAGUGACAGGUGGUGCAUGGUUGUCGUCAGCUCGUGUCGUGAGAUGUUGGGUUAAGUCCCGCAACGAGCGCAACCCUUGAUCUUAGUUGCCAGCAUUCAGUUGGGCACUCUAAGGUGACUGCCGGUGACAAACCGGAGGAAGGUGGGGAUGACGUCAAAUCAUCAUGCCCCUUAUGACCUGGGCUACACACGUGCUACAAUGGAUGGUACAAAGGGCUGCAAGACCGCGAGGUCAAGCCAAUCCCAUAAAACCAUUCUCAGUUCGGAUUGCAGGCUGCAACUCGCCUGCAUGAAGCCGGAAUCGCUAGUAAUCGCGGAUCAGCAUGCCGCGGUGAAUACGUUCCCGGGCCUUGUACACACCGCCCGUCACACCACGAGAGUUUGUAACACCCGAAGUCGGUGGGGUAACCGUAAGGAGCCAGCCGCCUAAGUGACAAUAC
This 1506-nucleotide ribosomal RNA is filed under the name Metabacillus endolithicus. Its description in RNAcentral is "bacterial SSU rRNA". It matches the Rfam family "Bacterial small subunit ribosomal RNA". The record is from RNAcentral. Lineage: Bacteria; Bacillati; Bacillota; Bacilli; Caryophanales; Bacillaceae.